GCUGUGGUGGUGUAAUGGUUAGCAUUUCUGCCUAGCAAGCAAGCAAGAAGGCCCGGGUUCGAGUCCCGGCCGCAGCA
Molecule: transfer RNA, 77 nt
Filed under: Schistocerca americana (American grasshopper)
Lineage: Eukaryota; Metazoa; Arthropoda; Insecta; Orthoptera; Acrididae
Description: tRNA-Ala
Rfam family: tRNA
About the family: Transfer RNA (tRNA) molecules are approximately 80 nucleotides in length. Their secondary structure includes four short double-helical elements and three loops (D, anti-codon, and T loops).
Source: RNAcentral